Molecule: long non-coding RNA, 308 nt
Filed under: Oryza brachyantha (malo sina)
Lineage: Eukaryota; Viridiplantae; Streptophyta; Magnoliopsida; Poales; Poaceae
Description: long non-coding RNA (OBRA_LNC002212)
Source: RNAcentral
UAGGAAGUAGCUAGUUGGGUAAGCCACCAACAGUUAAGCGGUUUCUUAUCUACAGUAGUGUCAUCGGUUUGGUUUAUUUGAAGGUAUACAGAUGCAUACUUAAGAUUUUUGGCAAAAAAAGUUUAUAUAUAACCGGUCUCUAUAUCCACUCGGAUAUAUGCAGUCAUUUUUUUAUUUCAGAAACUCUGGGAACUUGGCACAAGUAGGGGAUGUAGCCCCUCAAAUACCUAAUCUAAAAUUCAUGUUCCUAUGGAGAUUUGAACCCGGACCUUGGGUGUUACUCAGGUCACUGUAGCCACUAUGCUACA